UGGGCUCUGGACUGGAGAGUGAAAAGAGACGGGGAGAGAAAAACUUGAGAACCCGUUUUUUGUUCUGCUUUGAUAGGUUACAGAGCUACUGCAAAAGCAACUUGGCAACGGACCAGGUGUGAUUGACAGUGAAAAGGGAUUCCCGAUGCAGCCUUAACGCAGAUAAGCGUCCCCACCCCCAGUGAGCUACAAAAACAGUGGAGGGAGUCCGGAGUCUGUGGGAAAUGUAAAAUGCCCGGGUAAAAAGUGCUUGAGAUCGACAGAGUCAACACGCAUCUGUUGAGACAGACCUGGCAACGUAACCCUGCGGCAACCUAGUGAGCCACGAGCACAGGGAUUUCCGGGUUGAAGUGGCCACAGGCAGCUACUGCCUCUAACAAGCCAGGGGUACCUGAUUGGUACCUGUUUCCAGGAGGUUCCAACCUUCCUGAAGAU
Molecule: long non-coding RNA, 435 nt
Organism: Rattus rattus (black rat)
Lineage: Eukaryota; Metazoa; Chordata; Mammalia; Rodentia; Muridae
Exons: 3
Source: RefSeq, a predicted model, not a curated record